UACGUAGGUGGCAAGCGUUGUCCGGAUUUAUUGGGUUUAAAGGGUGCGUAGGCGGCCUUGUAAGUCAGUGCUGAAAUCUCCCGGCUUAACCGGGAGGGUGCGGCGAAUACUGAGAUGCUGGAGUGCCGGAGAGGUAAGCGGAAUUCCUGGUGUAGCGGUGAAAUGCGUAGAUAUCAGGAGGAACACCUGUGGCGAAAGCGGCUCACUGGACCAAAACUGACGCUGAUGCACGAAAGCUAGGGGAGCAAACAGG
Molecule: ribosomal RNA, 253 nt
Filed under: uncultured bacterium
Lineage: Bacteria
Description: partial 16S ribosomal RNA
Rfam family: Bacterial small subunit ribosomal RNA
Source: RNAcentral